AUGCCCGUUUCUUUAUAAUAUUAUAUAAUACUAGUAUCUCACUCUGAUGUAAUCUUAACUACCAGUGCUCCAUUUUAACUCCUAGGUCUCAACAACAGCACGCGCGCACAACUCCCAAGCCAAACCCACCGCCAUGUCAACGACCACCACCACCACCACCGAACCACCAUCAACACCACCGCAAAUCCUAAUACCCUCCCUCCCAAACGACAUCGCCUUAAACAUCUUAGCCCGCAUCCCAAGGUCAUAUCACCCACGACUUACCCUCGUCUCCAAACCUUUCCGUUCCAUCCUUUCCUCUCCUCUACUCUACACAACUCGCUCCCUCCUCAAUACCUCUCAACACUUUCUCUACCUUUCUCUCCGCAUCCCCACCACAACUUCCCUGCAGUGGUUCACGCUCUAUCCAGACCACACAAAGAAUUCCUUAAUUCCACUCACUCCCGCACCUUCCCCUCUCGUGGGCUCCGCUUUCGCCGCUGUGGGACCCAAGAUUUAUGUCAUCGGUGGCUCGAUCAAUGACAUCCCGUCCCCCCACGUGUGGGCACUGGACUGCCGGUCCCACACGUGGGAGGCUGUCCCUAGCAUGAGAAUUUCGCGUGAGUUUGCUGCUGCUGGGGUUGUGGAUGGGAGAAUUUAUGUGAUUGGCGGUUGCGUGGUGGACACGUGGGCGAAGUCGAGGAAUUGGGCGGAGGUUUUUGAUCCGAAAACGGAGAGGUGGAAUUCUGUUGAUAGUGGAAAGGAUGAUUUGUUACGCGAAAAAUGGAUGCACGGAAGUGCUGUAGUGAACGAGAGAAUUUAUGUGAUGGCGGAUAGGAAUGGGGUUGUUUAUGAGCCGAAAACGAAGAAAUGGGAGAGUGUGGAGAGUGAAUUGGAUUUAGGGUGGAGAGGGAGAGCAUGUGUGGUUAAUGGGAUCUUGUAUUGUUAUGAUUAUGUGGGAAACAUUAGGGGUUUUGAUGUGAGGAAUGGGGCUUGGAAGGAGCUGAGGGGGGUUGAAAAGGAGUUGCCGAGGUUUUUGUGUGGUGCCACAAUGGCGAAUGUAGGUGGGAAGUUGGUGGUGGUUUGGGAAAGAAAAGGGAAUGUGAAGGAAAUGGAGGUUUGGUGUGCGGAAAUUGAGGUGGAGGAGAAUGGAGAGGGGGAGUUGCGGGGGAGGGUUGAGUGGUGUGAUGUUGUUCAUAAGGUUCCCAUUGGGUCGUCUAUUGUUCAUUGCUUGGCUGUUUCGAUGUGAGGAUCUAUCGCAGCGCACCAAUGCAGCGCAUUGAGCACACAAAUUAUGCUUGUUUAUUAAUCAUACUCAGAGUACUGGUCCCUGAGGCUUAAAACUUUUUACCUGAGAUUUGGACAGCUAGCCAUAUGGAAAGAUUGAAUGGAUGUCAGGUUUAACUUCGAGGUUUUGUUAUGGACAGUAAUGGGUAUGGAGGCUGUAGAUCUGAUGGGGUUCCUGUCUUGCUUCUUUGAUGGAAUAGAAAUAGUGUAGCUUUUGGCAAACGAGUUCUGUCAGCACAAGAAAUUGAUUCAAAAGCUUUAGCAUAUCUGAAGGGUUUCCUUGAAGCUUAUGCUUUUCGAGAACCUACCAUCCGCUCCUAUUCUUGGGUUUAUGAAGAUUAAUGAUGGUGGGACGUGGGAUGGAGACAGCGGAACUGCCGGAUAUGGUAUUUUCUUUCAUGGAAAAAGCGAGUUUCUGGCUGGUUUUUGAAAGAAAGAUCAUCUUCCUUAAAACAUCGACUAAGAAGAUAUUACUGUUUUCGUCAAUAUCGACUACCAGAUCAAACCGGGGGCAGCAAUUUGGAAUUGGAGGCCAAGCUUGUCGCUAGCUUAUUCUGCAUGCAAGUUUCUUUGGAAGUGCUCUCUUCUUGCAAGUGCUACGACCCUAAUCCGUACUGAUCGAGUAAGCUAUUUCUUACAUGAAAUACAUUUAACAUGCACUUUUAAAGAGCAGUAAUAAGAUAGUUAUUCCCUGGUGUGUUGAAACAAUAUAUGUACAACAUCAGUAAGGUUCUCAUUUUUUGUUUUGGAACACAAGUGCUGCUGAAGUGCUGUAUCUUUUGCAGAAUUAUGCGUAUCCUGCUACUCAUUACAUUCA
RNA transcript from Populus nigra (black poplar), 2083 nucleotides. It is a transcript of the gene named F-box/kelch-repeat protein SKIP6-like, with no coding region annotated. The record is from RefSeq and is a predicted model, not a curated record. The transcript has 3 exons. Lineage: Eukaryota; Viridiplantae; Streptophyta; Magnoliopsida; Malpighiales; Salicaceae.